This 468-nucleotide ribosomal RNA is filed under the name uncultured bacterium. Its description in RNAcentral is "partial 16S ribosomal RNA". It matches the Rfam family "Bacterial small subunit ribosomal RNA", at positions 28 to 507 of the family's 1533-position model. The record is from RNAcentral.
GACGAACGCUGGCGGCGUGCUUAACACAUGCAAGUCGAACGGAAAGGCCCUGCUUUUGUGGGGUGCUCGAGUGGCGAACGUGUGAGUAACACGUGAGUAACCUGCCCUUGACUUUGGGAUAACUUCAGGAAACUGGGGCUAAUACCGGAUAGGAGCUCCUGCUGCAUGGUGGGGGUUGGAAAGUUUCGGCGGUUGGGGAUGGACUCGCGGCUUAUCAGCUUGUUGGUGGGGUAGUGGCUUACCAAGGCUUUGACGGGUAGCCGGCCUGAGAGGGUGACCGGACACAUUGGGACUGAGAUACGGCCCAGACGCCUACGGGAGGCAGCAGUGGGGAAUAUUGCACAAUGGGCGGAAGCCUGAGGCAGCAACGCCGGGUGCGGGAUGAAGGCCUUCGGGUUGUAAACCGAUUUAGACUGUGACGAAGAGUGAGUGACGGUAAUGGGUAAAGAAGCACCGGCUAACUACGUG